RNAcentral lists this long non-coding RNA (23700 nucleotides) under Citrus maxima (pomelo). Its description in RNAcentral is "long non-coding RNA (CMAX_LNC000958)". Lineage: Eukaryota; Viridiplantae; Streptophyta; Magnoliopsida; Sapindales; Rutaceae. The record is from RNAcentral.
GACGUGGCAUGAUUAUGAUUUCUCCCUUUAUUGCAGUCUCGAAAUCCAACUCUUCCAGUUCUUUCAUAAGACUAAAUGCGAGCUGUUUCAAUUUGGGAAAGGCAAUAACUGAGGAGCCAUCCGUAUCACUUUCUACUCCCAGAAAUUCAUUACCCACUCUUUUCACACUUUUCAUUCCUUCAAUAUGAAGAGAUUCAAGGGAUGGCAAUUUUCCCAAAGGAGGCAAAUGCUCACAAUUUCUCCACCAGCAGAGAUAUAAGACCCUUAAAUUGGUUAAUGACGUGAUCCAAUUUUUGGGGACAACAUUCCUCCUGCCUCUGUAUUCAUCUAUCACUAAUUUCUUUAAAUUAGGAGGUGGUCCCAAGGCUUCAAGAAGCCGUUCAUCUUCAUCCUCCUCAUUCUCCCUCCUCCCAGCUUGAUCUUCAUCCCCAUCUCUUAAAUGAUCAAAAUGAAGUCCCAACUCAACGAGAUAUUUCUUUUUCUCAAGUUCAGCCCUCGCAGCCUCACCCGCAUCUGACACACCACCCAGCCCACGUAUACCACAUUGUUGAAGGAAGUUAAGCUUUUUAAGAGACCCAAGGCUACAUGCUCUGUCAUACCCUCCGCCCACAACAAACUCUCUCACUCUCCGAAGCCUGAUUAAUUCCCCAAUCCCUGCCGGCAAGUAUCUUAAACAACCAGUGUCUUCAUUGUGUAAAUACAUCAGCUUUCUUAACUUUCCAAUCCCUCGAGGUAAUUCUCUAAGAUUUUGACAAUCAUCAACGUUUAAACGUUCUAAAUUAUAUAACUCACACAACGUCUCGGGUAAUUUUUCUAUCUUCUUUUGACCUUUCAAAUUAAGGUAUUUCAAAUGUAACAAUUUUUCUAUAUUUGUUGGAAUUUCCUUGAUUAAAUUGUUACGCGGCCACGAUUCACGCACCUGUAAUUCUAAUGCCCUUAAACAAGUUAAUUUUUCAAAUAAUUGAGGUAGAACUUCACUAGACCAUGAAUAUUCAUCACUUUUAACUAAGAGGCUCCGCAAUCCUCGCAAUCCUGUAACAUUACCCCAAAUGGAAAUCGGAACCGAAGCCCCCCUACGUAGAGUUAACAGUAAAUGAAGGAUUUUUUUCUCCACGAAAGAGCUAAUAGCUAACUCUUCACCACUAUGAAUUUCUACUGCUAAACAUUCAUUACUACAUAAAUAUUGGGCAAAGUCGUGCACUAUAUCAUGCAUUUUGCACUUAUAGAUUUCACCAUCAUCAUAUUUGUUAAAAUCCUGAAAGAAUGAACGGCUAGCUAAGAUGUUGAAAUACUCUUCACCAAUAUCCUCCAUCUCUUUGGCUCCUUUCUCACUAAGAUAACCUUGUGCCAUCCAUAGUUCAAUUAACUUAUGCUUCCGUAUUCCAUAGUCUUUCGGAAAGACGGCACAAUAUGAGAAACAACGCUUUACCUUGGAGGGUAAUUCAUUGUAACUCAACAAUAGAGGGGCUAAAAGGCCUUUCUCAAUUGCUUCUAGUUCCCAUAUCUCAUUCUCUAAGAUAUUUUGCCAUUCUUUUUCAGUGUUUUUAGACCGCAAGAGACUAGCAAUUGUCUUUGCAGCUAAAGGUAAGCCCUUGCACUUUUUUACAAUUUCUCUACCAAUUUUUUCUAAAUUUUCACGUUUUCCUAUGGUCUUACCAGAAAUUGCCAACGACUGAAACACCGACCAGCAUUCCAUUUCAGACAAUACAUUGACAGAGAUAACAUGAGUUGAUCCCAUAAUACAGGCAACUGUUUCUUUACGUGUGGUAAUUAAAAUUUUACUUUCAUGGAGACUAUUCUUUAAACAUUUGUAGAAUGGUUCCCACUUAUAGUAAUCUUCAUUCCACACGUCGUCUAAGACAAGAAGAAAUUUCUUCCCGGCAACACAUUCUUCAAUAUGUUGCAUGAGAGAUUGAAACUCUACAAGGUCUUUGGCAGAACCUGGCUUCAGAGACUCAAUGAUUGCUCUGGCGAUCCUGAAUUCAUCAAAUGGCUCUGACACACAGACCCAUGUUCUUUUCUCAAAAUUUCUUUCAACAUCACCGUUGUUGUAGGCAAAUUGAGCAAGAGUAGUUUUGCCUAUUCCCCCCAUCCCAACAAGUGAGAUGAUAGAGGGGCCUUCCUGUUCUUUACUACCCUCACAUAACAACCUAUCAACGAGUUCGUUCUUCUCUUUUUCUCUACCAAAUAUCUCGGACUCAUCAAUUGAGGAGAUACUUGGUACUCGUUGAUCCGCUCUCUCAUUAGUAACAUUCACAACAAAACCAAACAUGUCUUUCUGUUUGGCAAUAUCAUCAAGAGUUUCGUUGAUUUCUUUUAUCUUCAGAGCAAUGUCACGACGUAAGACAAGUGGUUUGCAGGCAAAGCAAGAUGCAGUAGGAAAGAAGGAACAUACCUUCUUCUUAGGCACUCCGUCGAUCUGCAGUUUGAGCCUUGCAGUGUUCCACUCACCCAACACGUCUUCCAUGUCGUAACAUGUGCAUCUGAGUUGAUCGAGCCAGAGUCUGACAGUUUCCUCCUUCACUUGCCUUUUCUCUGCAUCAUGGAGCACAGCUUCAAUGACGCGGAGACUGCUGGUCAGCUUCUUCACUUCCUUUCCGACACCCGUUACUAGCCUCACUUGUUCCUUCGCCUCUUCAACAGCCAUUGAAGUCAGCUGCUCCAAGAUAGGGGAAAGGAUCGCAUCAACCAUGGUGAAAAAGAAAAAAGAGAGAGAGAAGAAAUUGAUGGUGAAUUGUUGCAAAUGUAAGUAGCUAAUGCUGAAAGAAAUGAAGGAGCUGAUAAUGUGGUGAAAAUGUUGCCGUAUUCUUUCAAUUCUUAUAGUACUGCAAGCAAAAUUCUAAUUUAGAAAUAUUUCAUUUCAGCCCCUUGUGAAAGAAGCUACGGUUAUUAUUAUUACUUUUUUUUUUUUAAUAACAGCAAAGAGUGAAAAUGACGUACAGUUGUGGACAGGAAAUAAUAUAUAUGAAACUGACAAAUUUUUCACGCGGCGAUUCACGCGGUAUAUGAAACAGACAAAGUUUUCUAUGAUCUCUUUUUAAAGAAUUGAACAAGUUGUUAGAUAAUAUUUUUGAUCGUGUCGUCAUAUUGAGAUUUGGAAGCAUUUGCUUUACAAUCACCCAUGAACUUUAUAUUUUUUAGAUUGUUUGAUCUGAAUUAUAAGUGUUUUAUUAGCUUAGAAAUACCUUGACCAUCUCUUUCUUAUUUUCUUCUUCUUCUUUUUUUUUUUUUUUUUAAUUUGACUCGUUUGCAUAAUUAGUUGAAAGGAAAGAAUGAACAUACUAAUAAACUAGGAAAACGCUGCCACAUAAUAUUCUAAGAUUCAUAUCGAACCACUUUAUUUAGAUUUUUUCAUUUUAGCAUAUGUCUGAUAGUGGGAGUUUAGAGUUUAAUCUCUAACUUUGCUUGUGAAGUGGGAAAAAUCAAAUAAUCUUUUCAACUCGUUUUUCAACAAAAAUAGAUCACAAUUCAUCAUCAGUUAUUUCUCAUUAUGUAUAAAAUGAUCAAUCUGGAGCUGGAUAUUCACAUAUUUUUCUAUUUCUAAUCAUCUCAAAAUAUAUAAUAUGAACUUUUAAAAAAAAAAUCAAAUUGUAAUAAAGUGACAUAAAUAUUAAAAAAUAAAAAGAAAAAGUCAAAAAUGUAAUGCGGAAAAAAGACAAAACCUUUUUGUUUGUUCUAUUCAUGGCAUCAUCUAAAUAUGAGAAAUGAUGGGUUGAUUGUCAUUGUGAACAACCAUAUAAUUGCAAGACGUGAAUACCAUCAACGUUAUAAUAAUUCAUGGACCCAUGCAUCCUCUGUUUUUCUAAUUAUUCCGUGUAGAAGGCUAAAGUUUAACGUGUGAUUCUCAAAUUCAUUGUCAAGUGAUUUGAACGUUUUAACGGACAGCGCUUACUUUUCUUUUUGAAGGAGCACAAUAACAACUUGAAGAUUCCUGGAAGUUGCCUGCAGUUCAAAUAUUUUCUUCAGACGAAAACCGUCAAUAAUUUCCAAACUUAGAAGAUAUUUAUAAUUUUCCCAUAACCCACCAAAAACUUUUUCAUUUAGUGUAACCUUGUAAUUUUCUUAGAUGAUACUUAAAACUGCUAAUAUCUUCUAAUUAUUGUUUUAAAAAUCUAAAUAAUUGCAUGCCCAAUUAACGGAUCAGUAGUCUCAGUUCGACAUAUUUAUUUAAAAAAAAAAAAGAAAUACACAGUUGUUUGAUGACUCUGGAAUUGAACAUCAGGAAAUAAAGAGAAAAAAUAACACACUUUAUGACGAUCAUUGCGGAUGACAUAACAGAUGUCAGUAUUUAUUGCCAAUUAAUUGGCAUUCUUAUUAUCAAGUAAUUGUUUUAGACUCGAAUUCAAAAGCUCUGCUCUGCUCUGCCCUUCGGUAAUCCGCCUGUUCAAAAAAUAAUAUUGUUUUAAAAAUCUCAGUAACAACAUGCCCAAUCGAUCACACAACGACUUUGUUGAAAUUGAAACAUUAUUGGGAAAUUAAUGAAGAGUAGAGAGCAAUUAGAGAGCUUAAUUAAGCUAAACAAUUUGAUUAUUAACUGUCUAGUCUCUCUUGCACCAUUCCAGUUAUCCUCUGAUCGAUCACACAAUCUAAUGCAUAAUCAAUUCUUUAGCGUGCGGCUUUAAACACAGCUGUUAUAAACUUGGUCAGCUUAACAAAUAUAACGUAACAUAUGAUAUUAUUAAAAUAUUCAAUUAUUCUCUUGGAAAGAAGUAAAUUCACUCAAAUUUAAAAAAGGUUGAUAAAGAUAAAAAUAUUUUAUAUUUUAUUACCUAAUAAUAUUAUAAUCUUAAGAUGCAAUUGGCAUUGUUUUUGUUUUGGUGUUCUUUGUUUUUUUAACGAUGAAGCAAUCUAAAAUUUGUUUGGAUAACUUGUUUUUAAAUGGUAUUUAAUUCUAAUAGAGAAUGAUUUGUUCUAAUUUUCCAACAGAAGAAAAGUGGAGAAUAGAAAAAUGAUGUUUUUUUAAUUUUUAUUCUCUAAAUGAAUCCCACAGUCCUACUUGCACAAUAAGAAAAUAAAAAACCUAUUUAUUUUACAAUACAAUUUUUCUUAUUUGUUUAAUCGUUUGAAUUUUUUUCUACGAUGGUAAUGUAUUAUUUUAGUAAUUUUUAAAGAACUUUAAUAUUCUCUAAAAAUAUAUAUUUUACCUCAUGUUUAUAAAAUAAAAAAUUUACCAAAAAAAACAUAAUGGUUAAAAAAAAAUCUAAUUUGUUAAGAGUUUUUUCAUUAUGAUAUUUUUUUUCACUCUCAUUCAAUGUCUUUACUUUUUCAAACAAAAAAUCAACAAUAUUUUUGUUUUUUCAUAUCUAAACACUAUUUUAGAAACAAUCAACUAAACAUAUUCUUAUUUUCACUUGAAAACUAAUUACUUCUAAUUUAUAAAAUAAAAAUAAAAAUAUCAUGUGAAAAAUAAUACCGAGCACACUCUUAAUAUUUAAGCUUUACAUAAAUUAAAAUAUUAUGUGUCACUCAUUUAUUAAAUAAUAAAAUUAAAUUAUUUAUUAUUUAAUUUUUUACUUUUCUAUUCUUUCAAAAUUCUAACAUAAAUAAUCAAUUAAAGAAAUAUCUUUUAAAGGGAGCUGGUAAGUAAUUUACAACCCUUCAAAGUUAUGUGAACAGAAAUAAUAAGUGGCGGGAUCUACAUGAAUUUUGGUGGAACUGUAAAUUACUUAACAAAAUCCUAUUUUAAAAUGAUUGUGCCAUGUCUUUAUCAUUGCCAACCCGGGCCUUAUCCGAGUUGAAGCUUUAUCAUUGGCAUGUAUUUUCACUAUUCAUAUAUGUAGUGGCAGACAUCGGUGGCCAAUUAAGGAAUGAGCACAACUACUCCACCAAUUAAAUCUUGACGCGUGUGCUUUUAUUUCCAAUUAUUCUACUGUCUUUUUCUAAUUACUUUAUCGCAGAAGUAAUUAAUUCUGAAAGAAAUGAAGGAGCUAAUAAUGUCGUGCAAAUUCUUCCAAUUCUUAUGCUGCAAGCAAAAUUCCAAUUUACAAAUAUUUCAUCUCAAAAAAGAAGUUAUUGUUAUUAUCUUUCUUUUUUUCUUUUUAAUUUUUUGAAUUCACGCGGUGCAUGAACUUGACAAAGUUGUUUUUUAAUAAUUUAAUGAUUUGAUAACUGCCUCCUCGUAUCCAAAUCGGUAACAGAAUUCAAUUAUUAUUAAUUGGUAAAAAGAUUCUUUUUACCCAUUAUUAUUAAUCGGUUGCAGAUGAUUUACUGAAAUUACCGUUACGUUUUGACUGUGAAGUUUGAAAAAUCAAAUAAUCUUUAUUAUUAGUUUUGCAAUAAUAAUAAACAACAAAUCAUUGUUAAUUAUUUCUUAUUUAUUAUGUAUAAAUUGAUCUAUCCAGAGUUGGAUAUUUAUAUAUUCUUCUAUAUCUUAAUCAUUUUGAAAUUUAAUAGAAAUUAAAAAAAAUCAAUUUGUAAUAACGUGUCAUAGAUAUUAAAAAAUGCAAAUGGAAAGUCAAAAUUGUAAUGCUCAAAAAAGACAAAACUUUUUUUUCUUUUUUCUUUUUCACGGCAUACAAAAACAAAAAUUUAAAAAUUUAAAAUGGAAAGUCUCGUUUAUUUAUUAUUAUUAUUUUUUUUAAAAGAGCUCCCCUUAAUUAUUCUACCGUCAUUUUGCUUUCACUAUUCAUAGUGGGAGGGAGACAUUGGUGGCCAAGGGAUGAAACUGAAAGUAAAAGUUAAACGAGACUCCUGUGCGUUUCCGAUUGCUCUGCUGAAAAGCCGUAGAUUAUGAGCUGGCAAGGGGUUUGGUGGCCGUAGCCUUUAGUUGGCUUAGGGAGAUAUAGUUCGUGGUUUAAAAGUUAUUCCAUGCAUACUAGUUUAACAAAAAAUUUAUAACAAUUUUUAUUUAAAUUAUUAUUUGAAAGUAAUGUUAUCAAACACUAUCGAUUCUUAAUUUUAAAAUUAUAAAUUUUUUAUUUCACAACUUGUGCAGCUUAUAAUUAUUGGCUAUAAAAUUCAAAACGGAGCCUAAAUCUAGAAGGUGCAAAUGCCGCCAAAAUUUUUAAAUUUUAGAUGGUAGCUUAAUUUGGUUGUGAUUAUUUGAUUAUUUUAUGGUGAUCUUGUGUAAUGAGCUGUUAUAUAAGACUUCAUUUGGAAGGAAACGAACAGCUGCGACGUACUAUUUAAUGUAAUGAGAUUCAUUUAAUCACAGAUACACGAGACUUAAGUGUUUAUUAUAUGCAGAGAUAUUUUGGAUUUUAAGUUAUAGAUUGUAGUAAAAUAAAAGCUGUAACCACUAAGAAAAAAAUUUAUGCGAAUUGGGUAAACUUUCACUUAUAAGUAUUCUAAGGUAAGCUUAACAUACUUCUGAAGUAAUUAAUAAUUUUUACUGUAAAAGUAAAAGUUAAAAAAAAAUUGACAUGCCUUGAAAAUCUAUAUGUAACAUUAUAUCCAAAUAAUGAUCAAGCAUAAACCAAGAAAUUCAAAAAUGGGCGAGUUCUGAUGGCAAUUGCAUUCGUUGUGAGAAUGAGUGAUACUAUUGGCACCCCUCUAAAAACUCCUCUAAAAACUUCUUAAAACCUCCUUUCUUUAUUUACUCUACUAAAAUUCUUCAAAUUAAUAUAAAUGUCUAUAAUACCUCCCUUAGCGACAAAUAUAUCCUUAAAUGAAAUAACUUAUCCUAGUAUUUCAAUUCUUUCUUAUUGAUCAUAGCCAGUAUUCCAUUCUGUGUCAUAUUGCUCAAAUCCAUUAUUGAAAGACCAUUCUCUGGGAUUGUAAUCUAUUUCAAUUCUGUGUCAAUUGGGUCUGGUCUUGUCCGUCAUUAGAUUCAAUUGUCAAAAUGCAGCAAAUCUGAUUAUGAAGGAAGAAGACGGCAGAAAGGAAAUAGGAUGGGUUAUUAACCAGAUCGGGAUUUUUUUUUUUUUUUUUUUUGGGUUCCCUUCUUACUAAUAUGUUUUGGUUAAAAAGCCUUUUAAUUUUUCAAUUUAUGAUUUUUAUUCCCAAUUAUUUUCAGCACAUAAGCAGAUCAUUCAAAUUGUUUGACUAGUAUGCCCUUGGUUAUUUUUAGCAUAAUUCCAUUGACUUUGUAAUUGAACACCAGAAUACGAAGUUUAGAGAACAAUGGGAAAACGUAAUUAACUAACCAAUUUGAUUCCUCUACACCAGCUGCUCCCACCUGAAUGACUACAAAGUAAGCAACCCAAACUUAUCGUAUCUGUUAGGAUUAAUCCAAGCCAUAUACACUUGUCACAUGCUAGAAACAUGAUGUUACCAAUCUUCUCACCUUUGGCAUUCAAACCUUGCUCUAGAACAAUUACCGCGGCCGGUCCUAUUGAAGGCAAAAAAUUUGAGCUUUGAAGCAGCCUCUCUUACCAACCUAGUUCCAAAAGAAUUUUUGGACAUGCCUUGAAAAUCUGUAUCAUCAUAUCCAGCUAAUGCUCGAGUAUAUCAAGUAUUCAAAAAUGGGCCGGGCGUAAAAAAAUUCUACAACGUUCAAUUUAAUGGGUCCGUACAUGCUUAGUACCCACUGACACACACUCUGUAGAGUGAUCAAGACCAACAUUCAAUCCACAAUCACAUAAACCUGUGCUCGUGUCUGCAAAAUGGUUAUAUGGUUAAACCAAUAUAAAUUUUGUUUCUACUUCUUAAUUGGAUUACUAAUAACGAACGUGUAAAACGGAGCAGCGGAAGAAAUUAAUAACAGGCUUUUUGAGAAUUCCUCAAGGGCCUCCUUUGACAUACUUCCCAAUAAUCUUGACGUUGGGAAUGUGGGAUAUCUUCGGCCGAUCCUCUCCUGUCUCCUCCUUAUGCUCUUCUAAAAUAGGACAUCUCCCAUCUUGCCUCCGCUAUUGAUAUGAGUCACCUCUUAAUUUCAAUUAAUAAGAUUACCCAAUUCACAGUAAGCGACUCAAACACCUAUCGUAACUGUUAAGGUCAAUCCGAGGCGUAUGGAUUUGUAGACAUGUUAAAACCUUCAGCAAACAACAAUCAAUCCUUGAUCGAAAACAGCAGAGGUAGUUGGUAGGUCUAUAUUUCUCACAGCUUUGGCCUCAUCACGAUCUAGCACUUUUACAGUAGUGCAAUGAGCAAGCCUGGCACACUGCAUCCGCUGAGAUUAAUUUUUACACUUGCCCUGGAACCUGUCACAUUGUGUCGUAAUAACCAGCAACUAUUCAAAGGCGUGGAAUGUUAAUACUAUAAUGUACGCUAAUAUACCUUGUUCAUAUUUCACGUAUCUUAGGCCAGUCCACUCCUGUCUCCUGUCCAUAACGUUCUUUUAAAAUAGGACAGCUCCCAAUCUUCAACUCCUGCAGUGCUGUCUUCUGAAGAUGGUGAUCGGGCAGCGUUUUUAAUUUAGGGCACAUAUCAAUUUCCAAGGAAGAGAGACAUGGCAUGAUUAUGAUUUCUCCCAUUAUUGCAGUCCCGUAAUCCCAUCUUCCAGUUCAGGCAUACUCUUAGAUCAUGAGCUCUUUCAUCAAAUUGCCCAAUGGCAUGAUCCAAUUUUUGGGGACAACGUUUCUCCUGCCUCUGUGUUCAUAUAUCCGUAAUCAUCCUCUUCAUGAUUCUCCCAUCUCCCUUCUUCAAAAUGAAGUUGCAAAUUAAAGAGUUUUUUCAUUUUAUGAAUCCUAAACCGUAUCUGUCGCAUCACCAGGCACGUAUAUACGACAUUCUCGAAGGAGGUUAAGCUUUUUAAGAGACUCAAAGCUACAUACUUUGCUACCUCCACCUCUGCCUCCACCCACUACAAACUUUUGAUUUCAACUGAUAAGAUUUCCCAACAUUUAUGCUCUGCUCUGCCCUCACGUAAUUCCUCUGCUAAAAGAUUAUUGUUUAAAAAAUCUCAGUUGCAUGCCCAAAAAAUCAAUCUCAGUUAAUAAACAUACGGAAAAGAAAAUUCAAAGCGGUUUUAUGAUAUUGUAAUUGAACAUCAAGAAAUGAAGAGAAUAAGUAGCACACUCAUGACCAUCAUAGCAGAUGAUAUCGUAGAUAAGUAUUUUGUAGCAAACUUAAUAAUACAUUUAUCAAAUAAUUAGCAAUUUCUAAAUUAAUAUGUAAUGCUUGAAGUAAUUAGAUAUCUAAUCUGUAAAUUCUACUUCUUAGUUUCAUUCACAAGCUUUUAUUUCUUGGUAUCUAACUUGCGGAUGAAGCCAAAGCUGAAGAACUGAAAUUGAGAGAUACAAGUAAAAAUAUAAAAAAUUAAAUAAAAUUGUUUAAUGAGCUAGAAUUAUACAAGUAUUUUACUGAAAAUUUAACAUACUUAUCAAGUAUUUUACUGAAAAUUUAACAUACUUAUCAAGUAUUUUAGUAAUUUGUACUCUGAAAAGUAAAGUAAUUUGAUAUCUAAUCUGUAAAUUCAAGAUAUCAAAACUCCUGACAAUUACAUAAAACUUUUUCUACUUCUUAGUUAGAUUCCAGCUCUUCUUAUACUGAGAUUACCAAAAGUAUUAUAGCAGACGAACCCAAACCAAAUGCCUAGUUUCCACUAUCAAGCUUGAAAAACUAACUAAAAUUGAACAGUAGAACAAAUUACCUAGGGGUGAUGGUAUAUGGACUAUGGAGCCGCAUGAGAAAUCCUGAAAGACUCUCUCUUGAUCCCUCGAAAGUUAUGAAUUAAUGCUGCGUUUACUUUUUGGAUUGGAGUGGGAAUCCUGAGGAGUGAGAAUCCUUGGAUUAGGAGUGUGGAGUGGGAGUGGGAGUAGGGUGUUUACUUAAACUAAAUGAAAGUAUGGAUUGUCAAUUAGAAUCCCAAUUAUUUGUUUACUUUGUCUUGGAUUGAGAGUAAAUUAUUUUAAAUUACAAUUUUAUCCUUAUGUAAAGAAUUAUAAUUUGUAAUUAAAAAAUUAAUAAAAAAUAUAUUUGGAAAAUAAAAUAAAUAUUUUAUUAUAUUUAUAAAUUAAUAAUAAUUACUAAUAUUCUUAAUUAUGUAAAUCAUAAUUUUUAUUAAUUUUAAUUUAAAUUAUGUGAAUAAAAAUUAUUAAUAAUAGUAACACAAAUGAAAUAUUAUUAUUGAUAAUAUAGUACAAAAUUAAUAUUUUUUAGAAUAAAAUAUUUAUUAUUAUUAAUUAAAUAAAUAAUUAAUAUUUAUUAAAAUUAAUGUUAAUAUUAUUAAUUUAAAUAUAAUAUUUAUUUAUUUUUAUUUUAUUAAAUUUAAUAAAAUAAAUAUGAUAUAAUUAUUAUUUUUAAUAAAUAUGAUAUUAUUUAUUUUAUGAAAUAUUAUUUAUUUUAUUAAAUAUUAUUUAUUUAUUUUAUUAAAUAUUAUUUAUUUAUUUUAAUUUUAUAAUGAUAAAAUGGGAAGAGGGGGGAGUGGAUUCCCACUCCCACCUCCCCCAAUGGGAGUGGGAAUCCCACUCCCCACUCUAAAUUUGGGUGGGACCCACGGAUUCCCACUCUCACUCUCCCCAUUUUUAAGGUAAGUAAACACUGGAGUGGGAGGAAUCCACACUCCACACUCCACACUCCCACUCCAGAAAGUAAACACUACCUAAGAUGCUAGGCCGGUUUGCUUGCUUGGGCGGACUCAACUAAGCCCCUUUUGGGCCCUUUUUUUUUUUUUUUUUAAAUAUAUCCCAAGUCCCUUCUAAAAAAAUUAAUUAAAAAAAAUUGAAUACAUUAUUCAUAUAACAAAAAAGAAUUUAUAGUUCAAUAGUAACAAUGUUAUUUGAUACUUUUAAAGUAUUGAUUCAAAUCUCAAUAGCCACAUUAUCUUUUUUUAAAAUAUUUUAUGUAAAUUAUUUAGAAAAAUGAUACUUUCAUGCAUUUAAAAUAAAUAAUUUAUUAUUAUUAUUAUUUAGAAUUUAAAAUAAAUAAUUUAUUAGAAACGUGGGGCGUGAAAAUUUAAGUCUCAAAUAGUAUUUGAGACUUGAGAAGAUCGGGCACCAAGCUGGGAGUUUAGAUGAAGCGUUCAACAGUUACGGCCCAUGGGCUUAAAUUCUGUAUAUCAGCCUUUGAGCCUAAUACGAUCCAUGUUGAAUAGUUGAAGAGUGGCGCUAUUGGCAGGCCGUUGUUAAUUUGAUGAACCAUUAUACUAAGAGAACCCCGAUUCGAAAUUUUUAAAGGUUAUGUUAUGUCAAAGAAAACUCACAGUAAUUCCAUUUAUAGCCUUUGUUUAACUUUCUUUUUUUCUGUUCCCUUUCAAGAAGCCCCAUUAGCCGAAUUGAGAACAAAUAGUUCACCCUUAAAUCUUCUUAUCUUAAUUUAUUCUAAGUUUGUUUUUUUUCCCAAAAAAAAAAAAAAAAUCUUGAUUUCUUCUGAAUAUGUUUAUAUCUUUUUGAAAGUAGAAAUAAAAUCCAAUCCUAUAUUAUUAUUUAAAUUUAAAAGAAAUAGCUUUCUUGUUAUUCAACAAAACACCUAAUUGGCUUGACAAAUUCUACCGGCAACCUCAUUAGUAACACAUCCUACUUUACUAAGUUAUCUCAUGGGACCGCAUGUUACAGAUGACGUAUCGCAUAAUUAAAUCUGUAAUACCCGGCCAACUCUCUUAUAUAUGCCACUUUAGCUGGCCUCUCACUUCAACAUCAUUAGUUUAUUGCCAUAGAUCCUCACCUCUUGGAACCUCCAUGAAAGUUGAAUUUGUCACCGAUCUUACAAAAUAGUAGUUUUAAAAUAAAUUUAAAAAAAUGUAAUUUCCCCUAAUUUUCAAUUCUUUUUCUUUUGUUUUAGAAAACAAUCUACAAGUUUUGAGUUGAUAAGAGCUUGAAAGGAAUAUAUACCUUCUAUUGCUUUUUCCUCUUUUCCUUCAACUUCAUCAUUAAGCUGAAAAGAAUCUAAUAAAUGAAAUAUCAUUGGAGCUUCCGUAAAGCCAGUCGUUUAAUUAUAUAUAUGUUUGCCUGAAAUCUUUAUACUGUUUCUAUUUUGCGAUCUCUUUCUCUCUUCCUUUCUUUAACGUAUUUUUCAUUACAUCGCUACCCUAGUUGGUAUUUUACCUCACCUUCAUCAAUUGAGCAAUCGCUUUCUGACCCAACCAAUGUGGAAAGAAUAUGGCCACUAUUCAAGAUUCCAACUUUAUUAUGCCCAACAGGUUAUAAUAUUUGCAAAGACCCCACCAUGCUUGAAAGAAUAUCCGCCAUUUCGCGAAGGCUUGGAACUAGUUCCUCCUAAACUACUUCCUUUUGGCUCCACGUUUCGGAUAUGUCAUGUGAUACACAACAAAAAAGAAAGUAUAAAUGGAUAAAAGAAAUUAUAAAUAGAAUAUGGUGUGCCUCUCACUCUGCACUAAUGAUCAAUUCAUUUGUAUAUUAUCUAUUAAUUUCUCGUGCUACAGCAUAUAUACUUCGGUACAUACUAAUACUUGUCUGUAAUUUGCUGCUCAGCCUGCUCUUAUCUCCUAUUAGCUUGAACGAUUGUGCCCAGCUGGCCCACCAGGAAUAGAGUUCAAACCCAACAAUAUUCUCAGCAAACAGAUUGCACAGUUCUUGAUCUUUUUUUUUUUCCCAAUUUUUAAAUUUCUUCCCCUGCUAUGGUACUCAAUGGCAAACUAGUUGAAUCAGAAACUUAUUCAUCACUAGGUUUAGUUGAUUCUCCAGGUAAAAAAAGUUCAUCAACUCCUCGAGUCUUGUCGAUUCUUUCAUCAGUUCUUGAGAGAUCAAUCCAGAAAAAUGAAUCUUCAUCGAAGGCAUCAAAAAAGAAGGAAGUUGUCACGAUAUUUCAUUGUUCAAAAGCACCAAGUUUGAGCAUUAGACAAUAUAUUGAACGCAUAUUCAAGUACUCCAGGUGCAGCCCUUCUUGCUUUAUUGUUGCAUACAUAUAUCUUGAUCGGUUCCUUCAACGAAUCAACGGUUGCCUUACGAGACUCAACGUUCAUCACCUUCUGAUCACGAGCUUUCUAGUGGCUGCAAAGUUUGUUGAUGAUGAGUAAGAACUUGAUAUCUUAACAACCCAGUUUGCUGCUUUGAAUCAAACCUUUCGUUUUAACUUUUUGACCACUGAACGUGCUUGUAGGUGCUAUAACAAUGCGUAUUAUGCAAAAAUAGGGGGGAUAAGCACUGCAGAAAUGAACAAACUUGAGAUGAAUUUCUUGUUUACUCUGGAGUUUAAGCUUCAUGUGACCACAGAGGUUUUCGCGAAGUACUGUUCGCAGCUAGACAUGGAAGGAGCAGCAGCCGAAGAGUGGUGGGUUAGCCCGAUGAUUGAAGCAUUAGGAAUUAAACUUGGCCGGCUGAACAGAGACGGCAAAAUCUGACGGCAGGUUACAACUGCAGCGUCACUUCACGAUGGCCAACGGCAUACUGUGAUGAUUGAUAUGGUUCUGGCUCAAUCCAGAUUCCAGACACCACCAAACUAACUGGAAAUUUAUAGGUGCCCAAUCUCCCUGAGGAUUACAAGUAAUUUGUGGCUAGUUCCAUAACAGGGGAGGGGAAAAUUGUAUGACAAUAAAUUGUCACUGCACGUUAUGGUAAAAUGCAUUUUGUUCUUAUCAUCUAACAUUAGAGGUGUUCAGAAUUCAAUCCGAUCCAUUCAAUUCGUCUGAUCCGUAGAAAUCUGAUCUGUAAAAAUCCAAUCCGUGGAUUGGUGGAUUUGAUUGAAAAUUUGAUAAUCCGCAAUUGGUGGAUUAGAUAUAGAUCUACAUCAGUAAAUCCGUAAAAAUCCGCGAAUCCGUAAAAAAAUAAAAGCAUCUAUUUUAUUAAAAAAUAAAACUGAUAAAUAUGACAUUAGUACGUACUAAAAAAAAAAUUAAAAUAUAAUUACAUUAACACUAUAUUAUAUCUUAUCCGAUAAUAAUUUAAAAUAAAAAAUAAUUAAAUAAACAAAUAUAUCUUCCUAAAUAGUUAAUUUCUAUAUACUGGUCUAAAUAAAUGAGAUUUUUUUUUUCGGUGUGUUAUAUUUUAAAACUUUAAAUGUAUUUUCUAGUUUUAUUUAAACAAUUAAUUUAUUUAAAUCUUAUUUAAUUUUAAAUUUGAUCGGCAGUAAAAUUAUUUUAUAUUAAUUUUUUAUUUAAUUAGGUCGUGAAUUGGAUAGAAUUAAAAAUAUUCAGUCCGCAAACCAAUCCGCAAAAUGAUGGAUUGGAUAUGGAUUGAGUCAAAUCUGCAUCCAAUCCGCAGACGUAUGGAUUGGAUUUGGAUUAAAUUUCACCAAUUCGUAGAUUGGAUUGGAUUUUGAUUAAAUUUCACCAAUCUGUGGAUUGGAUUGGAUUGAAAAAUUAUAAUCCGUGAAAUUAUGGAUCAAAUAUGGAUUGAUAUCCGAUCCGUAAAAUUCGACCCGCGAACUCCCCUAUCUAACAUGUUCCGAUAACCAUGACACAUUGGAAAAAAAAGUUUGAAAAUCAGAAAACGAGCUCUUUUUUCAAAUUAGAAAGAUUAAAGAGAAAGAAAAGAAUAUGACAAAGGGCAUCAAUUUUAAAAAAUUGGAAAAAUCUGUACCAAAAUAUCUUAUUGCACAAUUCCUGCACAAUAACGUGUUCCAUUGUACAUUAACUCAUGUUCUAGUAUUGGAACACUUUCCCAAACUAGCUUACUUGAUAGAACACUUCCAAACGAUAGAAAAAAAGUUGAAGAGUAGUGACAUGACAUUUAAAAUAAAAUUAAUCAAAUUCUUUACAAAGAAGAGACAUCUGAGGAAUCCCAAUGAAUUGGCAGAAUCAGCUGUAUCUGAGUACGUGGCUAGUUGAUAGACAAAUGUUCAGCCUCUAUGAUGAGGAAGAAUUCUUCCUUGCCGAGUACUCACGGUGAGCUGCCAGCCCGACAAUUGUAACGGCUGCUCCGACUGACAAAUCAGUUUGAAAAAUUACAUGAUAUAAUAGAUAGAGCUCAGUAUCAUGCCUAACAAAUCAGUUUGAAAUAAUAAAAAUGAUCAAUCACAUAAUGAUUUUAUGAUAUCAAUUGAACAUCAGAAAAUGAAUAGUAGAGAGCAGUAAAGGAGCAUAAUGAAUCCUGUGCUCUGAUCAGUUUACAGGACUGUCUGUCUUCCCAUCUUCGAUACAGCAAGGGACUUACCGAGCUGAAAACAUUUAUUAUUUUGCUGAAAAUAGAAAGUCUCGUUCAGUGCAGAACUCAGAGGAUUUGACAUACAUAUGACCAUCCACCUGAUGACGCCAUAGAUGCUUAUUUUGUAUCAAAAUUAACAUAUUUCGAAGUAAUUAAUUAGUUAUCUUGUCUGUAAAUUCGAGAUAUUAAAAAAAUACUGCAUAUUCCUGACAUGAGCAUAAUAUAAAAUCUGAUUAAAACUUUUUCUACUUCAUAGUUAAUUAAUUAAAUUCCUCCACGACAUGAAGUGAGAUGUACUUGAAAUCUAACGCCCUUAAACAAGUUAAUUCACCAAAUGACACAUUUUGGAUAAAUCCCCUUUCUGCUAUUAUGCACGAACCAAUUUUACGGAAACUACCAAGUAGCAAUUUACAGGAUUGAUGAGCAGAAGCGAACCCAGUAACUUCAAAGCAAGAAACAACAAUGUCCAAGCCACCAACACAAUCAAACAUCAACAAUUUAAAGAAAAAUGAUUAAUGAGAUAGAAUUAGUGUUGGCCAAAAUCCAUCUCUAUGUUUUUCACACAGUGGGAAUUGUCGGGAGGAAAAUUAAUUGCUUUCUUGUUCUAAAGCAGAUACUAUCUGUGAAUGAUAUAACUCACUACCUCACUUCAUGCAAGCUUUGAUGUAUUAUUCCUUCUAUCAAUAUAUCCACUGCUAAUUGUUUUAUCAAAAACUUGGCAUGCUGAAGUGAACCCAAUAACUUCUAGCUAGAAGCAACAAUGUCCAAUUAAACCGCUAGUACAAUCAAUCAAACAAUAAGGAAAGGAUCAACAACACAAAAAGCACACGCAAGGCACAAAGAUUGACAUGAUAUGUCCACGGGUGUUGAUGCUGAUAUCCACUAUACAUAUGAGCGGACCCAAUCCCUUCUAAAAGAGUUAAAUAAAAAAAAAAAAUGGACAUACUUUUCAUAUAACAAAAGACUUACAGUUCAAUGGUAAGAGUAUUAUUUGAUGGUUUUAAAUUCUUGGUUCAAAUCUCAAAGAGCACAUUAUUUUAUUUUUUAGAAUAUUUUAUGGAAACUACUUAGAAAAAUUAUACUUUCACGCAUUUAAAAUAAAUAAUUUAUUACUAUUAUUAAAAAAAAAGUAAUGGAAUUUGAGUUUAUGAAACUUAAAUGUAUUCAAAUGAACAUUAAAAAAAAGCACCCCAAAUUAAAUAAAAUUUUUUGAACUAAACCCCCCUAAUUUAAGUUUCUAGGUCCGCCACUCACUAUACGUGUGAUGAAAACAAGUGUGUAUAUAUAAAGAACACCACCUGUCUCCUCACAAUAACCCUCUAGAAUACAAGCACAAAUAAAAAUGAGGCAAUUCCUGCUCUGCUCUGCCCUCACGUGCGUAAUUCCUCUGCUAAGAAAUAUUGCCUUAAAAUCUCGGUAGCAUAUGCAUGCUUGCCCAGCAAAUGAGUAGAUAUAUAAAAUGAUCAACCACAAGAAAUCAGCAAAUCAGUGGUUUCGUGAAUUUGUAAUCGACAUCAAAAUAUGAAGAGUACAGAGCAAUGGGAAAAAGUAAUUAACUAAACAAAGAACUUUAAAUCCAAAUAAGAUAAUUAACGUAUGAAAGGAGGGUUGAAGCCCACCUUAAAAGCUCCUGUCUAUCAAGGCCAAUAAAUCUCCUGCUAUCUGUUUGGUUAGAUCUUUAUCUAUUUCUAUACACCUUUUACUCUACUCUGUUGUUCAACCUUCCUUGGUUUUAUGUAUCUAUUUUAUGUGUAUUGAGAAGGCUAGUUACUAGGCGUCACCUCUUCUCUUUAAAAGAUGAAGUUUUGAGAAAAGGAAAGAAAGACACCCACAGACUCCCACGGCCAAUGACCUUGUCAUAUUUUGCAUAACAAAGUUGGACAUUAAUAAUAGUCACUGUCUUCAACCUGCUAACCAAAUCCAAGGCAAAGGUGGUCUUCCCGAUUGAGUAAGUAAGCUCUGAAAAGUCAUUACCCAGCUUAAAAGCCAAAUGAAGGUGGACUUGUGAUUGGUGACAUCAACAUAAUUUGAUCAGCCGAAUGACUACCAAAUGAAAAAGCAACAUAAACUUAACAUAACUGUUAGAAUUAAUCGAAGACACAUAUAUUUGUACCAAUCUUCACACCUUUAGCAUUAAAAAAAUUAAAAGUAUAAAUGUGAGGUUUUACAAUUAAAAUAUCAAAUAGUGGCAAAUUGAGCGCCCAAAAAAUGCGCCAAAUAAAAAUUAUUCAAAAUUCCUCUCUUCAAUCUCCUUUUUAUUUUAUGUACCGCUGAAAUAAAAUUAAUACAAAAACAUUCUGAAAUUGAAAGCUUGGAACGAAUCUCACGCCUCUCGCCUUCUCUUUCUCGCAUUUCGCCUUCCACUUUGGCUCUUCGGCUCUCUCUCUCUCUCUCUCAAAGUGACGUAAAAAAAUUAUUUUUCUUGUUCUAGUCCUCACAAAUAAGCCGUUUACUUUACUUUGUUCUUUGUUUAUUAUAAAUUUAAUCACGCUUUCUACAUUAUAAUUUACGGUCUCUGUUUACUUUUAUUAAAAAUUAUGAUAUUUAUGAAUAAUAAUAUUCGCUUGUUUGCAUAAUUGUCUUCGAUAUUGACUGUGUUUACAAGAUUUUUUUGGCUGCAAUCUUUCUUAUUGAGAUUGUUUAAUUAGUCGCGAUUGCAAUUUUUACAAGAUUUAAUGAAUGUUAAAAUUUAAAUAACAAUUUAAAAUUUGUACACCAGGUGUUUGUUAUAAUGCCAUGUGUUAUUUUCAAUAGAUUUUUUUUUAACAUGUAGUAUAGGCUUGACAAUGUUUUUUAAUUUUUUUUUUCCAAGAUGCAGAAUAAAACAAGGACUCGACAAGCUUACAGAAUCUGUAAGGUACAGACUGCAGCAUCAGCCGUUGGAUGUGGUUGGGUGUGGAGUGAGAAACUAAACAAUAGAAAAUCGGAUGGUGGGAUGACGGGAGAUGUUUGUUACAGAAUCUGUACCAUAGACAGGUCCAUAAAACAAAUGGUUAAGAGUGUUUCGAUACAAAUUUUCAAAUUAGCGCAUAUGAUAAUUUAAAAGUAAUUGAUUUCCCAAGAGUGAAAUUAUGUUACUUCAUAUCAAAGCAAGUUAUGUUGUCAGCUAAUAUUAUGAGUCAGUUUAACAAUUUACCACACAAAUAAAAAAGUUGUUAAGUAUUACAUAUAAAUAUACAUGUUGUAAUUUAAUCUCAAAGUAGGAAUGCACAUAGGGUGUGUUUGGUGUGUGGUAUUGCAUACAUGUUCCCGCAUUAGCUUGUCUUUUUUUUUUUUUACUUUAACUUUUAGUUUUACUUAAUAAUAAAAAAAAUGGAUAAAUAUAUAAUUUUUAAUUUUUAAUAUAAUAUUAUUUUUAAUUUUUAAUUUUUACAUCAUAAUUUAUUAAUAAAUUUAUAAUUUAAUAUGAUUAAUAAUAAAUACUUAAAAGUAUAUAAAAUAUAAUAUAAUAUUAUACUAUUUAAUUAUUGUAAUAUUAAUAUAUAAAAUUUAAUAUUUUUAAAUAAUAUAAUAUAACAAAUAAUAUAUAUUUAAAUACGAAUGAAUUUCAAUAAUAUUAAUCUAAAAUUAAUAAUAACAUAAAUAAUAAUAUAAAAUAUUAGCACAAUUCAUUUUAUAAUUAAAUUUAUAAAAUUUAAGACCUCUAUAUUUAGUUUUUUUUAAGUACUAAUAAAUAUUAUUUUAUAAAUAUAUAAUAUAAUUAAUCAUAAAAAAAUUAAUACAAUACAGUGCAACACCAAACAUAGUAUAACUAAAAAUUAAUACAAUACAGUGCAGCAUCAAACAUUGUACAACAUUGUUAUAAUAUAGUAUUAGUGCAAUACAGCAUAAUACAAUACACCAGCAUAAAAAUAAUGCAAUACAACAUAAUACAAUACAGUGUGCCAAACGCACCCAUAAAGUGUUAGCAAAAUAAAAUAAAAAAUUUGUUGAGUAUUGCAUACUAAUAAUUCUCAUGAUGAAAUUAGAAUAGGUUAAUUGGCCUAAACCUAAAUACUUUGUAAUAUUUACUUUUAAAAGACCUAUGGCAUUAGAUUCAACUUGCUAAGAUAUUGGAGAAGUGUUGAUGCAAUUUUCUGUCAUGCCUGCGGAUUCAACUUGCUAAGAUUUUGGCUAUGCCUUCAGGUUCAAGCAUUGUUGCUGAUUAUGUGAGCUGUUGAGAUUUUAGUAUUGAGCAUGUCUUUAGAUUCAAUUUCAGCAAAUGUAAUUGUCCCUUUUAAAGUGAUGUAAUUGGCUUCGGGAGAGGAUUGUAAUCUCCAAUGAUUUAUGGUUCUGGCAAAAAGAAAUUUUCUUUACGUUAACUUGCGACAAAAUGUAUGUAAUUUUUUAUGAUAUCAGCAAAUAUUUAAUAACAGAAUAGUUGAAAUAUUUUUAAAUUGCAUUGUGGUUUUUAAAAAUAUUUAAUGGAUAAAAAUGAUUUUAUAAUCGUAAGGGAACUACAAAAAUAAGGGUUGUUGGUAAUUGAAAAGAACAAAUUAAUUAUUUUAAGAUUAAUAAUAAUAAUAAUAUUACCUAAAUUUUUGACAUAAAUUAAGCUGAAAAAAAUGACUCAGCAUAAAAUGUCACAAGCAUAAAACUUAUUUGCCAUCUCAAAUGCCAUGUUUGCAAAUUGAGAUGCCAUGUCAUUUGCCACGUCAGAUUCCAUGUAAAUAAAGAAUUGUAGCACAAUUCCUUGACAGAAAUAUUUUGUCAUUAAUUGUUGAAUUUUCUGUCGCUAUAUUCUUACAAGGACUUUUUGGACGGAAUAAAAUUAUGUCAAUGACAUGAUCUGUGACAAAAUUAUUCUGUCAAAAAACCCAAUUUUGUAGCGGUUCCAAAUAACAAUUUAGUUUCUUUCCUUCUAGUUUUGUCAAUAAUUGAUUCUGUUCAUGGUUAAAAUAAAUUCUUUACUUCUCUAAAAAUGUGCAUAAUUUCCCCACUUAUAAAGUGUCAAGAUAAUUUUGCCUUUUUUUUUUGUUUUUUGUUUUUGAGGACUGAAAAUCAUUAAUUAUUUUCUUAAGUGAUGCCCAUUUGCAAUAUAUAUAUAUACGGUAUCUUGCUAAAUGAUCCCCGUGAUAUGAUCAUGAGUAAGCAUCUACCCUUUCAGAUGAUAUUUGGUUGGAAAAUUGGACAGGAAUAGAGAAAUAAAAGGAGAAACAAAUGGAAUAAUUAGAGAGAGGAAUGAGAUUCUAUUUAUUGUUUUGUUAUAAGUACAAGUACCGGAAAUCAAACAUGAGAAAAUAAUUGAGUGUUUUUUUGUUUACUUAAAAAACACGUAUUUUUGGUAUUUGAUAUUUAAUAGAAAAUUCAAAGUAAAAUCAAAUCCAUUUGUAAUAUAAGUUCGCUUCAUUCAUAAAAUAAACGUAUAGAAUAAAAUUUAUAAAUGUUACUUAUACAAAUGGAUACUACUAUUCAAAAUAAUAAAAAUUUUGCAUUGGAAACAAUUUUGAAAAAAAUAAAUAAAAGUUUUUAAUGGAGAAAGGAAUAGAGCAGGAAAAGUUUGGUAGAACAUGCACCCUAGUUUUGGAAUUAUGCCGUCAGUCAUUUUAUAUAAAAAUAAUAAUAAUAAUAAUUUGAUCAGCCACCAGAGCUUUACUUCAGUGAUUUUCUCAAACGGUCUUCAGAACCUUAUCAUGAUGCAUGUAUAUUCUAAGCUUCAUGACAUCAUUUUAAAAAGUUUUGCUAAGGUAAUUUAAAAUUUGUUUUAUUAAAUGAAUGUUACAUUUACUGGUAUGUUUAAUAGUUUGUGGGUAAUUAUUUAUUUUGUUUUGGAUAAAAAUUUUGCUAUUGAACAAACGAAUAACUGAACUUGACUUAUUUUUUUAUAAAUUUUAUGUUAUGAUCAUUGUAGGUAUGUUAUUUUUAAAUUAUGACCUCAUGUAAAAUCAAAAUUUUUAAUUUCACUAUUUUUUAUAGAGUUUGGUUAUGAUAAUCAAAUAAUGCAAUAAACACAUACAAAGGCAAAAGAAUUUACGUGGUUCGACAUAUUAAUUAAUAUGCCUACAUCCACGGGUAAUAAUACCGAUAAUCCACUAUGUAAUGAAAAAUUGUACAAAUAAUAGUAAGCUCUCAGAUGCAAAUAAAACGAAAAGAAACACCAAUCUUAACACUCUAAACGAAUCAACCCCCAGCAGCUCAGCGUCGCAAGAGCUCUUUCUGUCAUGUGCUUUUCCUUAUUCAUUCUCUUUACAAACACGAGGCUCACAAAAAACAAAACAAAACAAAACAAACAAAUUGCUGAAUACUGAAAACAUACAUAGCAGAUUAAAAAAGCACGCGCCGCGCCCGUCCCCCAAUUCCUUCUCUGCUACGCCAUUUACGUAAUUCCUUUUUGGCUGAAAAAUAUUGCUUUCUCCAACAAAACAAAUGAAUCAGUUAGACAAAUAUAUCUAAUUAUAAUGGUUUGGUGACGUAAUUAUAUCUAAUCAUAAUUAUAUAUAUAUAUAUAAAUAACUGGACAUGCAUCAGCAAAUUAAUGAAGAAGAGUAGAGAGCAAAUGAGAAGGAAAGCAUAUGCAAUUACUAACCAGAGUUAAUUUGAAUCCUUUCCCUGUUGGCUCUGUUCACUGUUGGACUAGACGUUUCAUCUCAUGCACUCUCACGUCUGUCUGUUUUCGAUCCGCUCUUAAUUAAUAUUUUGUUAAUUAAUUGGCUGAAAAUGAAAAGUUUCUUUAAUAUUUCAUUAAGCAGAGAGCAAAGGAAUUGACGACACACUUAUAAUAAUUAAUUUCUAAAUUGGAUUAAAAAAUAUAACAACUAAUUAAUUUUUUUUUAAGUAACAUAGGAGCUCUAGAAAGAAAGAAGUUACCCGUGGCGGUGGGUGAUUGUAAUUUGUAAUUGCAGCCGCACGCACUUCACUCAAUCUCGAUGUUGGGAAUGUGGCGGAUCUUAGGCCAGUCCUCUCCUGUCUCCUUUCUGUAACGUUCUUCUAAAAUAGGACAUUGCCAAAUCGACAAUUUCUGGAGCGUUGUCUUCUGAAGAAGGUGAUCGGGCAGUGCUUUUAAUUUACGGCAAUUCCAAAUAGUCAAGGAAGAAAGACGUGGCAUGAUUAUGAUUUCUCCCUUUAUUGCAGUCACGAAAUCCCACUCUUCCAGUUCUCUCAUACCCCAAAAUCUGAGCAGUUUCAAUUUGGGAAAGGCAAUAACUGAGGAGCCAUCCGUAUCACUUUCUACUCCCAAAAAUUCAUUACCCACUCUUUUCACACUAUCCAUUCCUGCAAUAUAAAGAUCUUCAAGAGAUGGCAAUUUUCCCAAAGGAGGCAAAUGCUCGCAAUUUCUGGACCCGAAAAUACUGAAAACCCUUAAAUUGGUUAGUGACAUGAUCCAAUUUCUGGGAACAACAUUCCUCCUCCCUCUGUAUUCAGAAAUCUGUAAUUCCUUUAAAUUAGGAGGUGGUCCCAAGGCUUCAAGAAGCCGUUCAUCUUCAUCCUCCUCAUUCUCCCUCCUCCCAGCUUGUUCUUCAUCUCCACCUCUUAUAUGAUCAAAAUCAAGUUCCAAAUCAAAGAGAUAUUUCUUUUUCUCAAGUUCAGCCCUUCUAGCCUCCCCCGCAUCUGACACACCACCCAGCCCACGUAUUCUACAUUGUCGACGGAGGUUAAGCUUUUUAAGAGACCCAAGGCUACAUGCUCUGUCAUACCCUCCGCCCACAACAAACUCUGUCACUUCCCGAAGCCUGAUUAAUUCCCCAAUCCCUACCGGCAAGUAUCUUAAAGAAUUAGUGAAAUCAUUGUGUAAAUACAUCAGCUUUCUUAACCUCCCAAUCCCUCGAGGUAAUUCUCUAAGAUUUUCACAAUGAUCAACGUUUAAACGUUCUAAAUUAUACAACUCACACAACGCCUCAGGUAAUCUUUCUAUCUCCUCUUG